AUUGAACGCUGGCGGCAGGCCUAGCACAUGCAAGUCGAGCGGAUGAAGGGAGCUUGCUCCUGGAUUCAGCGGCGGACGGGUGAGUAAUGCCUAGGAAUCUGCCUGGUAGUGGGGGAUAACGUCCGGAAACGGGCGCUAAUACCGCAUACGUCCUGAGGGAGAAAGUGGGGGAUCUUCGGACCUCACGCUAUCAGAUGAGCCUAGGUCGGAUUAGCUAGUUGGUGGGGUAAAGGCCUACCAAGGCGACGAUCCGUAACUGGUCUGAGAGGAUGAUCAGUCACACUGGAACUGAGACACGGUCCAGACUCCUACGGGAGGCAGCAGUGGGGAAUAUUGGACGAUGGGCGAAAGCCUGAUCCAGCCAUGCCGCGUGUGUGAAGAAGGUCUUCGGAUUGUAAAGCACUUUAAGUUGGGAGGAAGGGCAGUAAGUUAAUACCUUGCUGUUUUGACGUUACCAACAGAAUAAGCACCGGCUAACUUCGUG
This 484-nucleotide ribosomal RNA is filed under the name uncultured bacterium. Its description in RNAcentral is "partial 16S ribosomal RNA". It matches the Rfam family "Bacterial small subunit ribosomal RNA", at positions 30 to 507 of the family's 1533-position model. The record is from RNAcentral.